RNAcentral lists this long non-coding RNA (3639 nucleotides) under Marmota monax (woodchuck). The record is from RNAcentral. Lineage: Eukaryota; Metazoa; Chordata; Mammalia; Rodentia; Sciuridae.
GGCAGCGCGCGGCCAACUGGCGCGGCGCCCGCGGAGAAGGGCCGCCGCACACCCCGGCACGUUACGCCUUUCUGCCGGCUGGCCCGGGUCUCGUUAGUCUUCGUUCUUUAAAAGGCAGCAUUCUUUAGCCGGCGACUGGGUCGGUGUCUAGCUGGAACGCGCCCCCAUCUCACGUCAGCCGCUCUACGCCAGCCGGCUUACUAUGCUCAGUACCCCUCUCCCGGAAUUUGGGGGGAAAGUACCUUGUUAAGGGAAGUUCAGCAGGUAAAAGUUAGUGUCACCUGUACAGCGAAUUCUCUGUCCCCAAAUGCGCUAGCGAGGGAAGUCCCCUCGCUUCGGAUUUGAGAGAGUUCAUUGUUAGGAGCUUACCUGCUUUUAUCUUACUAUAUCAAGAAAUGUGCGGGGUAAGAAAAUGCUAGCUGUGCAGUCUAGGGUUAAGAUUUACAUUUUAGCUAUCUCUUAACAAAAUUAACAAUUCAUUGGAGCUGGAGACGUAGCUCAGUGGUGGAGCGCUCAUUCUAGCAUGAGUGAUGGCCUGGUACCACAGUACCACAGAAAAAGAAGAAGAAAAAUUCAGUUCCUUAGUGGACUAACCACAUUUCAGGUGCGCAGUAGUCCACAAGUGCCUAGUGGCUGAUUAUCACAGCGAGCUUAGGUAGGAUAUUUAUAUUAUCAAAAAAAGUUCUUUGGGAUACAACUGAGAAGAUUAAAAUACUGGGAACAGAAAAGUGACUUUAAUCACGUAAAGUAAUGAAAACACUAACCAGGGGGGAACAAAAACAUAGGCUGCAGAAGUUAGAAGAAAUCUGUAAUAGAAGCUGUCAACAGGUUCUUUUUACUUAUAUCUGUAACUUAGGACACAUAGAAAAUCACCUUCAAAAAUCACAAUCUUUAGGGGCUGGGGCUGUAGCUCAGUGGCAGAGCACUUGCCUGGCAUGUGUGAGGAGACACCGAGUUCAAUCCUCAGCACCGCAUAUAAAUAAAUAAAGGUAAAUCACCAACUAAAAAAUGUUUUUUAAAAAUUAAAACCUUUAAUUUUCCUGGUUUCUGAAAUUAUGUCGUUGAAACUAAGUAUCUAGAUUAAAUACUCAAGAAUGCCCCGCAUUUGUUGGCCUCAGUGGGAUUGCUGAAUUAUAGUGUAUAUGUGUGUUCCACUUUAUUAUACAUUGAUAAACAGUUUUCUGAAAUUGGUCACUGGACAACGAUGCCCAGUCUUGUCAUUUCUAUUCAAUAGCAUAUAACUAUAGGGACAAGUAAGGAAAAUUGAGAAAUGGCAUAAUGAUUGGAAAGAAUGAAACAAAAUUGCUAUUACUAUAGCCAAUAUAUUGAAUGCAUAGACAUCCAAAGUAAUCUACAGGUAAAUCUUAAUAAAUGACUUUAGCAAUAAUCCUGAAUCAAUGUAAGAAAAAUCAAUUGUAUUUUUACAUUGCAGCACCAAAUAGAACAUUUUAAAUUUUAAUUGCAAAUCAUUCAGAAAAAUUUUUGACAAAACAUCAAGACCUCUAAAAUGAAACUACAAACUAUUUCAAAGAGAAACAGCUGAACCAAGUAAAUGGAAGACUAUAUGAUGUUAAUGGCUUGAAAAUUUUAGUAUUGUUAAAGUUGCCAAUACUUCUCUAAGUAACCUAUAAAUUCAACACAAUCUUAAUCAAAAUCCCAAGAGAUUUUUUUAGUGGAGAUUAACAAACUGAAUUAACAUUUAUAUAAAAAUGCAAAGGGCCUGGAAUAGCCAAAAUAAUCUUGAAGAGGAAAUAGGAUUUUACCAGAUAUUAAGACUUCAAAGCUAUAGUACUUAAAAUAGUGUGUUAUAGCACAAGCAUAGACAAAUAGAAUAAUGGGACAGAAUAGGAUCCAAAAACAAACCACCAAAAAAUAGCCAACAAGAGCAGACAUAGAGGACUUAAAAUGCCAAAACCUGCAAUGAAGGUGGUGUGGUAUAAAGGAAGGAGAGCAAAGAAUAGGCUCACAUGUGAACAGCCACAUAAGAUGUGUGUUUCCCCAAGGUUGGUGCUGGUAAAAGGGGAGUGAUGGCAUCUUCCACAAAUGGUGCUGGAUCCAAAAGAGCACACGUUGCCUGUUUCCAUCCAUGUGAAUUUCAACAACAGGCAACAGAACAGUGACUGACUGGGGCAGCACAGGUGAUGUGUGGUAUUGACUGGGAAGGAGCAUGAGGGACCAUUCUGGGAUCCUGGAAAUCGGCUGUCUUAGCCUAGGUGAUGGGUGCACUGUUUUACGUAAUAUAUUCUGUGUGUCUAUAAUCAUUGCGCUGAACAUUUAAGAUUUUUGAACUUUGUAAAGUUAGUGCUAACCUCAAAAUUAUAAUAAAAUUAAAUAAGUGGUGCUAUUUCGUUUAGAAAUGGAAACUACACAUAGUAUCGCACAUGGUAUUUAAUGAGCUAACACCACCUAGUAAAUAUAGUAAAACUAUAUAUCCAAAGUUACAUAAUGCACCUAGAUUCUCUGAAAUCGCCAACCACUACAAAGUAUAGAUAAGAACCACACAGGAUUAAGAUAGCAAUUUACUCAUUCCAUAUUUUGGAGACAUGAAGUGUAUCUGCUGCUUAGAUUAUACCAAAUGUAAUUAAUGUAUCUAACAGAAAUGCUAACACUUAUUCAACUUUGUGCACAGCCUCCAAAAUGGCUUUAGUAAAAGACCAAAUAAAUUAUAGUUUAAAAAAAAAAACUAUAGCCAAUAUAUUGAAGUCUUCCCUUUUUGACUUCUCUAUAAGAAUGGAUCUGGGCCCUGUCAACAUUCUUUCUUUUGCCUAUUGCUGUGAUGUUAAGCUUUGUCAGUAGCAGGCUGGCCAUGGACUGGAGAGUCAAACAAAAAGUAAACUAAUUCUAGAGAAGAACGUGUGAGAAUACUUCUACAGCUAUUUUUUUUUUUUUUUUAAUGCUAGGCAUUGAACUCAGACAUUGUAGGAUAAAAGGGCUUGCUUCCUGGUUGGUGUGUGCUUGCUCAGCAUGAUCCUUCAGCCCAGAAGGUUCCUGCAAUAGCCACUUGGGAGGGAGGCGGCAUAGAAAAGGACCUCCAGUGAGAUAUCUCCACUUGCACAGUUUCCCAUACCCCUGAGAAAGAGGGCAGGGUAGUAGGUUGAAUGGUGCCCAAAAAUACGUGUGUCCAGAACUUGUGGUGGGUAUUUGCAAAUGUAAUUAAACUAAGUAGUUUAAGUGAAGAUCAUCCUAAAUUAUCAGGGUGGGCCCUAAAUUCAAUAACAAGUGUCUUUCUAAGAGAAGGGCACAAAGAGAUGCGAGUCAGAGGAAAAGGAAGAUUCAGGCAGAUUAGGCGAUGUAGCCACAAGAACAACUGGAGCCCCAGUGCUGGGAGAGACAAGGAAGGGUGCCUCCUAAAUCCUUCAGAGGGUACACAGUCCUGUGGACACCUUGAAUUUGGACUUCUGGCCUGCAGAUCUGUGGGAGAAUAAACUACUGUUGUCUUAAGCCACCAAGUUUAUUGUGAUUUGUUACGGCAGUCAGUUGCAUAAGAUUUCUAAGUUCUAACCAGGGUGGCACCCCAGCAACUCAUCUGGAGUUCAGUGAGCCAACAAUGUUCUUCUCCAAGGGGGCCUGAGAAGGGUGACAGCUGUUCCUUUGCCCAUUAUUCCCUCUAAAGUUUUUACUUGUAAAUCCUUCAUUAGU